Micropterus salmoides (largemouth bass) is the source of this 1510-nucleotide long non-coding RNA. RefSeq lists it as uncharacterized. The transcript has 4 exons. NCBI's taxonomy places the organism in Eukaryota, Metazoa, Chordata, Actinopteri, Centrarchiformes, Centrarchidae. The record is from RefSeq and is a predicted model, not a curated record.
CAACGCUGCGCGCGACACCACGUUUUCUAAGAAAAUACAUGUGAAUUAUCCUAGUAGGGAACUCAUUUUUCCCGACACACUUGAAUGCAUGAGAUCCCUGGCAAGUGACUACAGGACCACAGAAACAACAUGUCAAACAGGCCCCAGUAAACGAUGGCAGUUGACACUGAGCCAGCAUCCACAAUAGGACCCUGAAACUAAAGCAGGGGCUGGUUCUCCUGCAGCAGAUGCAACCUCUGAUUCUGGUCCAGACCACCUGCCUCCAGCACCAAUGCAAAGUGCUCUAUGUAGCGCAGUGAGAGGCGGUCCUGCAGGGAGGAGAUCACAUCCUGGAGAAGAGAAAUGAAAACAGAUUAGAAAUUGAAAGAGAUUUCCACAGUAAGAAUGUGCUUUAAUGCAACAAAAAAUAUGUAUUUGGCGUAUAGAGGCUUAUUUUCUCCCUGAAGUCACUCCAGGUUUGUCUAGGGUAGUUUGUCAAUUGUAUAUCUUUGUGAUCUGUUUAGGCUCUUUACUUUGAAAUCAUUUGUCAUUUUUUGCUAUGGAGAGAAUCCAUAGAUAUUAUAAAUUCUGCACAGUGAGUGCGUCCUAUUUAAGAAAAUAACGUCUGCAUGCCAGGGUGUGCAGGGCAAGCUCUUGUGCAGAUCAAUAUCUUGGAAUGAUGUAGCUCUUUUCUCAUAUCCUCUUUCUAAAAUGUACAGAGAACACUGUCUGAGGGGAAAUUCACUGUUUAUCACAUCUUACCAUGGGCUAUACCUGAGGAUAAUGUUUCAUUAUUUCUUUGCCCUUUUAAUAUAUUAGAGGUAUGAAAAAUUAAAAGGGAUUCCACUGUAGUGAUAUGUUACUGUAAGCAUGUGAGUAUGGAGGCUCAUUAAAAGCUUUAAAGUAUGUACACUAAUGCUGUGCUCUCCACAAACAGUUAAACUGACACUCCCUGAUGUAACCUAAGCAACAACUGUCUCUGAAAAACAGGGAUAAGCAGAUGUAACAGUAUUGACCUGUGCGGUUUGCAUUAAAUGACACCUGGGGAAGCCACACAAUUAACUGAAAGACCCACAGAAAGCUAUAGAUUGCAGCUUAAAAUACUGCAGGAAAGCUUCUUUAGUUGACAGACAGUCUAAUGGGCAUACAACUGGGCAUCCUAUUGUGCCACUGAUUUAAUCGGUGGUAUUGUUUUAUUGAUAUGGGCCUUCUUAUGCUGAAUUUCCAUUUAAUUAAGCUGACAGGGGCGAGCUUCUUCCAUGUCUCCUUUAAAGUGCCUCUGUGUUUCUCCUUUUCUCGCUCACUCUCCCUCCAUGAGUAGGGGAGAGAUUUGUGAAAUCUAAUAGAGUCCGUUUAAUGAGUCUGCUCGGAGAUGUCAGACUCAUCUUAGAGGCUGACAUGGAGACAGAAAUGACCUCUGUCUGACUGAAUUAAUUUGUUGCUUUAUGGUCUUCAUCACAAUACUGAGAUUUUAAAUUCCAAAAACUGAUAGGGUGAAGUUUCACAAAUUAAAGGAGUUUUUUUCUGUUUA